AGAAAUGAGGAAUGAACAUGGACUUCUUGUGCCCCAAAAGAAAAGACAGAAAGCUCCUAAAAUGAGCAAAUAAGCUGUGCAUCAUCUCUGGUGUUUGGGAAGGAAAUGACUGAAUAUGAUGAAGCCAGUUGAUGAAGAUAUCAAUUGAAUGUCCACCGAGUGCAUCACUGCUACCUGAACCCAUCAGUUAUCUUCUGUGAAGACUGCAUUCACAAACCGCUCUACUGCGACAGCUCAGAUGUUACGGUCCGUAAAAGUAAACAUCACAGCUAAACAACGAGAGCUAGUUGUGGUGGGAUUCUUUUGGCCAAUAUCCCCAACAAGAAUCAAUGUUAAGUCCAGUGCAACAAUUAUAAAUAAAAAUACUAUAUAUUGUUUAUUGAUUUACCAUACCCUAAAUACAUGUUUUGGCCCUCCAGGACAUCUAGACCAGGUGGAGUGUGAGGAGGACCGUCAGAGACUCCAGCCAGCCGAGCCAUGGAUUGCUCUCACUGUUACCAUCAGGCAGACGUUAUCACAGAACCUACACCAGCAGACAGUGAGACAAGUUCCUUUCACAGGCAAUCAGACUGAACUGAACUCAUACCAGUAAAACCAUACACACCCCACCAACCUCAUAUGCCCUGCACUCUUAUCAGUUAUGCUGACAGGACUCAAUACUAUUAUGCACCCUGACAUUCUGUUUGCACUAAUUCAUACC
Long non-coding RNA from Carassius auratus (goldfish), 700 nucleotides. RefSeq lists it as uncharacterized. NCBI's taxonomy places the organism in Eukaryota, Metazoa, Chordata, Actinopteri, Cypriniformes, Cyprinidae. The transcript is spliced from 3 exons. The record is from RefSeq and is a predicted model, not a curated record.